UAGUUGGGACAGUUGUAGGAGGAAGAUUAACAUAUACCAGUACAGAUGAGCAUGAUGCUAUGGAUGGAGAAUUAUCCUGUCGAGUUUUUCAGCUUAUAUCUUUAAUGGAUACCGGAUUGCCUCGAUGUUCUAAUGAGAAAAUAGAGCUUGCAAUUCUGUGGUUCUUGGAUCAGUUUCGUAAAACAUAUGUUGGUGAUCAACUUCAAAGAACCUCAAAGGUAGGUUUCUACUAGAGAGUUUAAAACAUGUUAUUGGAGAUGAAGAAAGAUGUACAUAUAUAACUGAAUGAUAUAUUUGGGAAAUUUCUACAUAAGAUGUGUAAUUGAUUAAUCAAUUGAUGAAUUGGU
RNAcentral lists this small RNA (347 nucleotides) under Pan troglodytes (chimpanzee). RNAcentral describes it as "retained intron". The record is from RNAcentral. Lineage: Eukaryota; Metazoa; Chordata; Mammalia; Primates; Hominidae.